AUUGAACGCUGGCGGCAUGCCUUACACAUGCAAGUCGAACGGCAGCACGGGUGCUUGCACCUGGUGGCGAGUGGCGAACGGGUGAGUAAUACAUCGGAACGUACCUUAUCGUGGGGGAUAACGCAGCGAAAGCUGUGCUAAUACCGCAUACGCCCUGAGGGGGAAAGCGGGGGAUCGCAAGACCUCGCGCGAUUAGAGCGGCCGAUGCCUGAUUAGCUUGUUGGUGGGGUAAAAGCCCACCAAGGCGACGAGCAGUAGCUGGUCUGAGAGGACGAGCAGCCCAACUGGGACUGAGACACGGCCAAGACUCCUACGGGAGGCAGCAGUGGGGAAUUUUGGACAAUGGGGGCAACCCUGAUCCAGCAAGGCCGCGUGAGUGAAGAAGGCCUUCGGGUUGUAAAGCUCUUUUGUCAGGGAAGAAACACCGGCUCUAACACAGUCCGGGAAUGACGGUACCUGAAGAAUAAGCACCGGCUAACUACGUGCCAGCCGCCGCCGUAA
Molecule: ribosomal RNA, 501 nt
Filed under: uncultured bacterium
Lineage: Bacteria
Description: partial 16S ribosomal RNA
Rfam family: Bacterial small subunit ribosomal RNA
Source: RNAcentral